Molecule: ribosomal RNA, 217 nt
Filed under: Clostridioides difficile
Lineage: Bacteria; Bacillati; Bacillota; Clostridia; Peptostreptococcales; Peptostreptococcaceae
Description: partial 23S ribosomal RNA
Rfam family: Bacterial large subunit ribosomal RNA
Source: RNAcentral
GCGACAGGACGGAAAGACCCCAUGGAGCUUUACUGUAGCUUGACAUUGGGUCUUGGUACUACAUGUACAGGAUAGGUGGGAGGCUUUGAAACCAGGACGCCAGUUUUGGCGGGGCCAUCCUUGGGAUACCACCCUUGUAGUACUGGGACUCUAACCAUAGGCCAUGAAUCUGGUCUUGGGACACUGUCAGGUGGGCAGUUUGACUGGGGCGGUCGCC